This 500-nucleotide ribosomal RNA is filed under the name uncultured bacterium. RNAcentral describes it as "partial 16S ribosomal RNA". It matches the Rfam family "Bacterial small subunit ribosomal RNA", at positions 30 to 523 of the family's 1533-position model. The record is from RNAcentral.
AUUGAACGCUGGCGGCAUGCCUUACACAUGCAAGUCGAACGGCAGCACGGGAGCAAUCCUGGUGGCGAGUGGCGAACGGGUGAGUAAAGUAUCGGAACGUGCCCAGUCGUGGGGGAUAACGUAGCGAAAGUUACGCUAAUACCGCAUACGAUCUAUGGAUGAAAGCGAGGGAUCGCAAGACCUCGCGCGAUUGGAGCGGCCGAUAUCAGAUUAGGUAGUUGGUGGGGUAAAGGCUCACCAAGCCGACGAUCUGUAGCUGGUCUGAGAGGACGACCAGCCACACUGGGACUGAGAAACGGCCCAGACUCCUACGGGAGGCAGCAGUGGGGGAUUUUGGACAAUGGGCGAAAGCCUGAUCCAGCCAUGCCGCGUGCAGGAUGAAGGCCUUCGGGUUGUAAACUGCUUUUGUACGGAACGAAAAGGUUUGGCCUAAUAAGCUGAGCUCAUGACGGUACCGUAAGAAUAAGCACCGGCUAACUACGUGCCAGCCGCCGCGGUAA